RNAcentral lists this transfer RNA (73 nucleotides) under Facklamia miroungae. It matches the Rfam family "tRNA". From Rfam's summary of the family: Transfer RNA (tRNA) molecules are approximately 80 nucleotides in length. RNAcentral also lists the same sequence under 2 other names. Lineage: Bacteria; Bacillati; Bacillota; Bacilli; Lactobacillales; Aerococcaceae. The record is from Rfam by way of RNAcentral.
GGGGAAUUAGCUCAGCUGGGAGAGCGUCUGCCUUACAAGCAGGAUGUCGGCGGUUCGAGCCCGUCAUUCCCCA